This 425-nucleotide ribosomal RNA is filed under the name uncultured bacterium. Its description in RNAcentral is "bacterial SSU rRNA". It matches the Rfam family "Bacterial small subunit ribosomal RNA", at positions 354 to 796 of the family's 1533-position model. The record is from RNAcentral.
GUGGGGAAUAUUGGACAAUGGGCGCAAGCCUGAUCCAGCCAUGCCGCGUGAGUGAUGAAGGCCUUAGGGUUGUAAAGCUCUUUCAGUAGGGAAGAUAAUGACGGUACCUACAGAAGAAGCCCCGGCUAACUUCGUGCCAGCAGCCGCGGUAAUACGAAGGGGGCUAGCGUUGUUCGGAUUUACUGGGCGUAAAGCGCACGUAGGCGGAUUGGUCAGUUAGAGGUGAAAUCCCGAAGCUCAACUUCGGAACUGCCUUUAAUACUGCCAGUCUCGAGUCCGGAAGAGGUGAGUGGAACUCCUAGUGUAGAGGUGGAAUUCGUAGAUAUUAGGAAGAACACCAGUGGCGAAGGCGGCUCACUGGUCCGGUACUGACGCUGAGGUGCGAAAGCGUGGGGAGCAAACAGGAUUAGAUACCCCUGUAGUCC